This is a long non-coding RNA of Cephus cinctus (wheat stem sawfly), 3755 nucleotides long. RefSeq lists it as uncharacterized. Lineage: Eukaryota; Metazoa; Arthropoda; Insecta; Hymenoptera; Cephidae. The record is from RefSeq and is a predicted model, not a curated record. The transcript is spliced from 10 exons.
AAUGGCGGAAAGCCAAUGUAAAGUCAAGGAUGGACUGCAGCACUGAUCAGUCAAUGAAAUAGCAAAGGUGCUCAUUCACUGCGUCGACAAGACUGUUAAAAUUGAGGUCAGACGUAGGUUGCUCUCAUAGUGCGCAAAGUUCACGGCAUCUCCCACCGUCGGGAACAUCGUGAAGUGACCUUCUUUGCAUUCAGCCACGUUGCAUUUUCUCAUCGUCUCGUAUACAGGUCCUACGGCAAUAAAUUGAAAUGCAGCACCGUACAAAUUAAACAGCCUGUAUAUCUACAGAAUUGUAAGAUAUAAGACAGGAAAUGGAAAAGUUAAAAGUGGAAGGAUUCACGGUCUCAAACGGACACAUCUAUCUUUGCGAAUUCAUCCACGAGACUUCUAAGCGUCGCCACACCGGUUGGAUCGAUAUAAAUCAAGGCUGAGAAAUCGAGGAUCAAUAUUCGCAGCUGUGAAAUAAUAAAACAAUUGGAUGUUGUACUCAAAAUUGAAGAAUAGUUUUAUAUCAACUACUUCGAUGGGGUUACGCUAUAGAGAUUGACGCUACUCUGUGGUCGAAGUGGUUAAGAGCAGCAGGAUGGAGAACAAUGCUAAUGAUAUUCAAGCUUGGCAAGGAAAAAUUAUUUACCACUGCUGCUGGUUGUGUAGGAGUUGUGUAUCCUUCAAAACCGGCAUUCACGAUACCUUCCUAAAAGUGAAAAGCGGAUAUGGAUUUUCUAUGGCGGAUAAUAAUAAGGUGCUAAGGAUAAACCCUUGCGAACUCCCUCGAGGACAGUAAUUAACGUCGAGUCACCUUUUUGUCGUCCCCUGGGGAAGCUUUCCUGGCAGUCUGCUUAACACGUCUGGCUAGCUCCUUUUCCGGCGUCACGCCGGCGAUCUUGUACACCUUAUUCCUGAAGUACUGUUUUGAAGCAAAAUUUAAUCCACCGGAAUAAUGUAACAUCUUGAUGCCAGGAAUCUCAAUGGUCUGGAAAUGCCCAGUUUGCAGGUAUAAGGACGCAUUGAUAAUCCUAUCAAUGAUGCCAGAGAGAUUAUAACACCGACUAAUAAACCAUAUUCAAUGUCGAGAAGGACAACAGUGAGAAAAGUCAUCAUCCAGACUACAGCAUCCAGUCGUGAGAGUUUAUAAAAUUGCCAAAAUUGUUUCACUUGUAGAAACAUUCCCUUCAGUGCUACUAUAAUUAUACUAGCCAGUACACACUGUAAUUUUUGUGAAUAUUUUCAAUGGCAUGUUUCUUUUGUCAGAAGCUGUAGGAUUUCUGAUGUUCAACUUGAAACUUACCAGUGGUAAUGGCUCAAAAAAUGGACCAAUCCAUAGUAACACGGAUAACAAGAGAGUGCAGGAUACGAGACUGGCCAAUUGACUGUGGCCUCCGACAGUUUGCUGAAUUAAUGAUCUGGAUAACGAGGCUGUGAAGGGCAUACAGGAGAAAAAUGAUCCCACCAUAUUGCCGAAACCCUGAAAACGUCGGAUCCGCUAAUAGGUUUUCUGUGUUUUCCGUAGAGUCGUUAACGUUAAAAAAGGGUGCCCGCUAUAGCGCAUGAACAAUGUCCAGGGACAGUGAACAUUGCGUGUUUUUAUUAUUGAGACAUAUUUUUAAAGAAAACGAACGCCGAGGAGUCCAUUCACCUGGGAAGUGAACACGUGAAUGGCGGCUGCCGUCGUAAAUCCACUGACUAACGUUUCCGACAGAAGAGUCGAUAUUAUACCAAGACGAAAAAGAUACCUGAAUGAUGGCUACUGUGAACGUCACAGCUGUUGCUACUUCUAUAGGGGAGUAUGAUAUACUUCCAGUUCCCUCUAAAGAACUAAUGUCCAAGGAUGUUUGAUUGGUCAUCGAAUUACUCGUGGAACUAUGAGCUAAUACAGUUUUUCCAGUCAUCAUGCAAAUCACAGCAAACGUGCCUGAUAGAGCGACAAGGAUGUUCCAAAAAUUAGGUAUACAAGAACCGGAAAAAAGGCCAUGUAAAUUCCAACGAUAGGUGGUACAUUUCCAAGGAGGGCAUAACUCAUUCCUGGCGAAGGGAGAUAAUUAAAUUAUUUAAUGGUCUUACUGUGGUAUUUAUGAUAUUAAAUAUCGUCCAGAAAUGACAGACCCUGAGGAAUAUGCAUUACAGCUACAGUAAAUCCAGCCACAAGAUCCCCCAUGAUGUUUUCCUUCCAGUUAUACUUUGGUAACCAAUCAAUAAUAGGUUUUGUAUAAUUGCAUAUACGAUGAAGUUCAUCCUGCUGAUAUACCGGGCGCCGGAUUAUGAAUUCCGGGGCGUUCGAGGACAUUUUAAAAACUUUCUGCAAAGAUAUAAUGAACGAAAUUCUCACGCACAAUUGCCUGCUCUACCCAUACCAAAAUUAUAUGCUUGAGUGGCAUUUAGCUAUUAAAUUGAUGACAAAAAAAGGGAGUUGAGUUUUCUCACAGGACGUUUAACCUUGAUAAUAAAAAGUUUGGUAAUGGUGAAUCAAACGGUUCCUAUCGUUCGCAGCGUGUCUUUAAACGUUUUUAUUUUUACAGAAUAAAGUGCACCAGGUGCUAGAACGGUUUUCCUUUGGCGAUCGGCUGAGCGUGACGAGUUCUCACACUGAAAUGCCAAAUGAAAUCGGCGUAUUCUGCAUGGACGAACAAUCCGGUGACAAAUAUUUGAUAAAUAUGUUCAAUUCGAUAAUAUAAUCUACGUCUAUAUGCUUUUCCGAGUCACUCCACUGUAAAAUACGAGAAGCUUCCGCUUUGAUGCUACAUGUACUGUAUACCGUUGAAUGGCGUACUGAGGGACGUUUGAAAUUUUAUCGAUAAUUCGAAAGAACUAUAUCUACUCAGACAACACAUACGUCCAAAAGUAAUUUUUCUUGUAAAGUCUUCAUAUAAUCAUUUUUGUUUUAGCUAGAAACUCGUGGGCUAUGACAUAACAUACCGAUAAGAAAAACCUACAGAUAUGUGACUAAGUACUGAUAAAAGGAGUGCAUAGUAAUAAGUCAGUAAAUGGGUGAUCACUAUACAUUAAAUACUCUCGAAUAUAUAAUAAAUACUAUGAAAAUAUAUACGCCCUAAACAUUAGUGACAGACACACUGUGAAAUCCCAAUUGAGAAAAGUGAAGUGGUAUCUUCGAAAGAGCAAGGUAGCAAAAUUCUUUGAAUAAACAAAGCCGUGAAACUCUUGAAGAUCUUAAAAGAGUAUCCCCGUACCCGAUGAAAAGCGCGGAAAGUUUUAAUUGCCAUUAAACAAAUUGUGAGAAUUCAUUAAUCCAAGUGCCGAGCGCAUAGUAGGGAAGAAGCUGUUACCAGCUCGUACGCAGGGAUUUUGUAUAAAGUCCGAAGAAGGUCUUCCUUUGUUGUGGCAGCAAUCCCGAGGACAUUUCCAAGCUUAAAAGCUCGUUUAGUGGCGUGAGUCGGCGAAUGAAAAGCCCAGGAAGAAAGUAUAGAAGCGCUCAUGGAAAUCGUGCGAUGGAAUAACCCUAUAAUAUUAGGAUUUCCACGAUUUUAUCGUUAAACUUCAUAUAAACGGAGCUGCACCGCCAGCACUUUGGCCAAAAAGUGUAACGUUAUCAGGAUCACCACCAAAUUUAGCAAUAUUUCGGCGCACCCAUUUCAACACUAAAUUUUGAUCCUUCAAUCCAGCAUUGCCAGUAGCAGCUGGAUGAUUCAACGAUAAAAAGCCUGUGAGAAUAAAAUCCAACGUUUUCAUUUUACUUAUAACUAAAGAUAAUUAUGAAAUAAUAACAUUAUGUAUUUAAUAAAAUACCCAAUGGACCCAAA